RNAcentral lists this long non-coding RNA (1413 nucleotides) under Nicotiana benthamiana. RNAcentral describes it as "long non-coding RNA (NBEN_LNC022450)". Lineage: Eukaryota; Viridiplantae; Streptophyta; Magnoliopsida; Solanales; Solanaceae. The record is from RNAcentral.
CACUGAAAUCAACAAAGAUGAUUUGUCAAGAAGGACUAGUUAUCACAUAAAGUUGACAAUGAGCAGCCUAACAAACUAAAUUCACUAUUUUCACAACCAAACACUCAUUAGUUUGUCAAUUCAGCCACAAAAAGGGGUAACAAGUAAAACGCUACGCCUGGAACAGGAAAGUAACUGAAAAAAUCAGAUAAUCCAAGGGAAAUAGGAUAAUAACACAAUUUGCAACUACUCUCCACACAUUAGAUCCCCUUAUUUUGUGAUCUACAAGACCACUAAAAUUUAACAUAAUGAAACAAGGAGCAAUACAGACAAGAGGGGUUGCUCUGAUGGUAAGCAACCCCCACUUCCAACUGAGAGGUUGUGAGUAUCUUAAAGACAAGAGGGGUUGCUCUGAUGGUAAGCAACCCCCACUUCGAACCGAGAGGUUGUGAGUUCGAGUCUCCCUAAUAGCAAGGUGGGAAGUUCUUGGAGGGAAGGAUGCCGGGGUCUAUUUGGAAACAGCCUCUCUACCCAAGGUAGGGCUAAGGUCUGCGUACACACUACCCUCCACAACCCCCACUAAGUGAGAUUAUACUGGGUUGUUGUUGUUGUUGUUGAAACAAGGAGCAAUACAAUAUUCUUUUGGGGUAUUAAUAAAUUAACACAACAGCCUGCAAGGGUUGGCUAAGUGGUCUCCCACAUGAGAGACUUGGGAUCGAUUCCCUCACCAGCAGCCUCCUCGGUCAGAGCCCGUCGCCUUGGGUGUGUCUAGUGUAGUUUAUAUUUUCUGUGUGAUUUGCGGACUAUUACGCAGUGACCAGGUUACCCAGUGCGCACCAAACGGUAGCGAAUGCGGGUUUUCCCUCCCAAAUUCCACUUGUGGGAUUAUAGGGUUUGUUGUUCAUAGCAAAAUGAAGCAAAAGAUCAUAGACAAUUAAAGAAAAAAUAGAAGAGAUUACCUAGCAACAGAAAAAGUCCAAGGGGUGAUAGGCUGAUCUUCAGUAGCUCUGUCUUCUCCGUACAUAUCCUCAACACCACCAGCAACACCACAUUUAUCUUUCAUAUCAAGAACAGUCUUCUCCAUACAUAUCCUCAACACCACCAGCAACACCACAUUUAUCUUUCAUAUCAAGAACAGAAUCACCAUUUGAUGAUAUUUCCUUUAGUGUGCUCUCCAUCACUACCCUUAUCUUUAAUAUUCCUCGUCCUCUUUGGCCCAAUAAAAACAACCCCAAUGCCUUUCUCUGCCAAUGAAACAAACUGAAACAACAAUAACCCACAAAGACAACAAAACAAAGAGUAAAUAAAUACCCAAGAAAACUACAAAUGUUCUUUGCUUCUGCUACCAAAAACAGAACAACCCACCUUUUAUAACCCAAGAAACAAUGAAAAUUCAAAAUGUUUGAAUGAAACUUUCCAAUGUCAAAUUAAAAA